GUGGGGAAUCUUCCGCAAUGGACGAAAGUCUGACGGAGCAACGCCGCGUGAGUGAUGAAGGUCUUCGGAUUGUAAAGCUCUGUUAAUCGGGACGAAAGAGCCUAGUGUGAAUAAUGCUAGGAAGUGACGGUACCGGAAUAGAAAGCCACGGCUAACUACGUGCCAGCAGCCGCGGUAAUACGUAGGUGGCAAGCGUUGUCCGGAAUUAUUGGGCGUAAAGCGCGCGCAGGCGGAUCUGCCAGUCUGUCUUAAAAGUUCGGGGCUUAACCCCGUGAUGGGAUGUAAACUACAGAUCUAGAGUAUCGGAGAGGAAAGUGGAAUUCCUAGUGUAGCGGUGAAAUGCGUAGAUAUUAGGAAGAACACCAGUGGCGAAGGCGACUUUCUGGACGAAAACUGACGCUGAGGCGCGAAAGCCAGGGGAGCGAACGGGAUUAGAUACCCCAGUAGUCC
This 450-nucleotide ribosomal RNA is filed under the name uncultured bacterium. RNAcentral's name for it is "partial 16S ribosomal RNA". It matches the Rfam family "Bacterial small subunit ribosomal RNA", at positions 354 to 796 of the family's 1533-position model. The record is from RNAcentral.